GACAGAGGGUGCAAACGUUGUUCGGAAUUACUGGGCGUAAAGCGUGUGUAGGCGGCCAAGCAAGUCGGAUGUGAAAGCCCCCGGCUCAACUGGGGAGGGUCACUCGAUACUGAUCGACUCGAAGGCAGAAGAGGGAAGCGGAAUUCCCGGUGUAGUGGUGAAAUGCGCAGAUAUCAGGAGGAACACCGGUGGCGAAGGCGGGUCUCUGGGCCGAUACUGACGCUGAGGAGCGAAAGCGUGGGGAGCGAACAGG
Molecule: ribosomal RNA, 253 nt
Filed under: uncultured bacterium
Lineage: Bacteria
Description: partial 16S ribosomal RNA
Rfam family: Bacterial small subunit ribosomal RNA
Source: RNAcentral